GAUGAACGCUGGCGGCGUGCCUAAUACAUGCAAGUCGAGCGAACGGACGAGAAGCUUGCUUCUCUGAUGUUAGCGGCGGACGGGUGAGUAACACGUAGAUAACCUACCUAUAAGACUGGGAUAACUUCGGGAAACCGGAGCUAAUACCGGAUAAUAUUUUGAACCGCAUGGUUCAAAAGUGAAAGACGGUCUUGCUGUCACUUAUAGAUGGAUCCGCGCUGCAUUAGCUAGUUGGUAAGGUAACGGCUUACCAAGGCAACGAUGCAUAGCCGACCUGAGAGGGUGAUCGGCCACACUGGAACUGAGACACGGUCCAGACUCCUACGGGAGGCAGCAGUAGGGAAUCUUCCGCAAUGGGCGAAAGCCUGACGGAGCAACGCCGCGUGAGUGAUGAAGGUCUUCGGAUCAUAAAACUCUGUUAUUAGGGAAGAACAUAUGUGUAAGUAACUGUGCACAUCUUGACGGUACCUAAUCAGAAAGCCACGGCUAACUACGUG
This 497-nucleotide ribosomal RNA is filed under the name uncultured bacterium. RNAcentral describes it as "partial 16S ribosomal RNA". It matches the Rfam family "Bacterial small subunit ribosomal RNA", at positions 28 to 507 of the family's 1533-position model. The record is from RNAcentral.